Molecule: long non-coding RNA, 937 nt
Organism: Cebus imitator (Panamanian white-faced capuchin)
Lineage: Eukaryota; Metazoa; Chordata; Mammalia; Primates; Cebidae
Exons: 3
Source: RefSeq, a predicted model, not a curated record
GUGCUGACAGUGGGUACCGUCACCCUCCUGCAGUCUGUGCUUCACGUGGACAUGUGUGCACUAUUUAUGUGGCUAAUAGGCUUCCUUACUGAGGGCAACGUUUACAUGCCAUAAAAAGUCCAUUAGCUGAAUUUAAGCUUCUCCAGAGAUCAUGGGGCCUAAUCUGUACUUGGCAUUUGACGUGGAGGGAAUUGAAAAUCCCAAGGACCCUUUCUGCUGGGCCAUUGCUGGGAUUGAAGAGAGAGCUUCGCUGAACGCGUGAGUAGGUGAAUGGAUGUAUUAGGUACCAAUCCCAGGACUAUCAGGCAGACUCAGGAAGCAGCACAUGGGGAACAUUCUCAGACUUGAUGCAUUAGCUGAUGACCCACAGUGCACCAAGGCUCCCCACUUUCUCCUGGAGUCGGGCCGCCUGUCAAGUCUCCAGCCCCUCAGAGGCUGGCUCUGGGCAGUCAGAUCUGUCUGCAUUUGCCCGAGGAGUCAUCUUUAUGCUCCUCCUGCUUCAGGGCAUUGUUUUGGUGCCAUACUCUGCAACCUCCAGUCUUGGCCCUCUGCCUGUUGUGUUGAACAGGUAGCCUGGGGAGAGGGACCUCCUGAGACAGCAGAAUGAUUUAAAGGCAUUCUGGUGAGAUUAAGCCUGGAAGCAACAAUUCCUUGUGGAAGAUGUGUGAGGGGAAAAAAUUAAGUGUGUCUUGCUCUGGCCUUCAAUUCAUGGAGAGCUGUAUGAAUUAGAACUCAGAUGGCAGAUCAUCAGUGAAAGAAAAUCUUGUUUAAGUAAACAUUUAACCCCUCACUCAUGUCUUCAUGACAUGGAGAUUAAGAGUGUGAACCCUAAUGUAGACUGCUUGGGUCCCAGUGUCACCGGUUACUAGCUGUGUGGUCUUGGGCAAGUCAUUUAAUUUCUCUGAGCAUAAAUUUCCUCAUCUAGAAAAUAGCAUCU